This 240-nucleotide ribosomal RNA is filed under the name uncultured bacterium. RNAcentral describes it as "partial 16S ribosomal RNA". It matches the Rfam family "Bacterial small subunit ribosomal RNA", at positions 94 to 334 of the family's 1533-position model. The record is from RNAcentral.
AGCGGCGGACGGGUGAGUAACGCGUGGGUAACCUGCCUCAUACAGGGGGAUAACAGUUGGAAACGGCUGCUAAUACCGCAUAAGCGCACAGUACCGCAUGGUACGGUGUGAAAAACUCCGGUGGUAUGAGAUGGACCCGCGUCUGAUUAGGUAGUUGGUGAGGUAACGGCCCACCAAGCCGACGAUCAGUAGCCGACCUGAGAGGGUGACCGGCCACAUUGGAACUGAGACACGGUCCAA